This 414-nucleotide ribosomal RNA is filed under the name Staphylococcus epidermidis. RNAcentral describes it as "bacterial SSU rRNA". It matches the Rfam family "Bacterial small subunit ribosomal RNA", at positions 1118 to 1533 of the family's 1533-position model. Lineage: Bacteria; Bacillati; Bacillota; Bacilli; Caryophanales; Staphylococcaceae. The record is from RNAcentral.
CCAUCAUUAAGUUGGGCACUCUAAGUUGACUGCCGGUGACAAACCGGAGGAAGGUGGGGAUGACGUCAAAUCAUCAUGCCCCUUAUGAUUUGGGCUACACACGUGCUACAAUGGACAAUACAAAGGGCAGCGAAACCGCGAGGUCAAGCAAAUCCCAUAAAGUUGUUCUCAGUUCGGAUUGUAGUCUGCAACUCGACUAUAUGAAGCUGGAAUCGCUAGUAAUCGUAGAUCAGCAUGCUACGGUGAAUACGUUCCCGGGUCUUGUACACACCGCCCGUCACACCACGAGAGUUUGUAACACCCGAAGCCGGUGGAGUAACCAUUUGGAGCUAGCCGUCGAAGGUGGGACAAAUGAUUGGGGUGAAGUCGUAACAAGGUAGCCGUAUCGGAAGGUGCGGCUGGAUCACCUCCUUU